UACAGAGGUCCCGAGCGUUGUUCGGAUUUAUUGGGCGUAAAGGGUGCGUAGGCGGCGGAGUAAGUUGGGUGUGAAAUCCCGGGGCUCAACCUCGGAAUGGCAUUCAAUACUGCUUCGCUCGAGUACUGGAGAGGAGGCUGGAAUUUACGGUGUAGCAGUGAAAUGCGUAGAUAUCGGGAGGAACACCAGUAGCGAAGGCGGUUCUCUGGGCCGGUACUGACGCUGAGGAGCGAAAGCGUGGGGAGCAAACAGU
This 253-nucleotide ribosomal RNA is filed under the name uncultured bacterium. RNAcentral's name for it is "partial 16S ribosomal RNA". It matches the Rfam family "Bacterial small subunit ribosomal RNA", at positions 524 to 776 of the family's 1533-position model. The record is from RNAcentral.